This 253-nucleotide ribosomal RNA is filed under the name uncultured bacterium. RNAcentral describes it as "partial 16S ribosomal RNA". It matches the Rfam family "Bacterial small subunit ribosomal RNA", at positions 524 to 776 of the family's 1533-position model. The record is from RNAcentral.
UACGUAGGGAGCAAGCGUUGUCCGGAAUCACUGGGCGUAAAGGGCUCGUAGGCGGUUUGAUAAGUCCUGUGUGAAAUCCCUUGGCUUAACCAAGGAACUGCGCCGGAUACUGUCGAACUAGAGGCCGGGAGAGGGAAGCGGAAUUCCGAGUGUAGCGGUGAAAUGCGUAGAUAUUCGGAGGAACACCGGUGGCGAAGGCGGCUUCCUGGACCGGUUCUGACGCUCAAAAGCGAAAGCUAGGGUAGCAAACAGG